ACCCGGUCCAAAUUGAACCGCCGAAGUCCAAUUCGUCCGAAUCCAAAUUCCAAAAUAUCUGCAGUUGACAUAUGAACACUGAAGUUUAUCUAUGGCUGCCUUACAACAAAUAAGGAGUAAAACUGCGUACUCUUCCCUCUUCACCCUUCACUGUAAAUCCACAACAAACAAAGAGCAAAAACUAUAACCUUAGUAAUAAUUAUAACAUGGCGUCCUCAAUUCCCUUCACUUCAACACCCCCUUCCAAUUUCCCUUGUUUCCACCAUAAAAAUUCAUUCCCUUGGUUUCCAGUCUCAGUCCCCUGCCAAAACCCCACCUACAGCUCUACAUCUUCACUGCUCCCUCUCUGCUUUGCUGCAAAGUCCCAGACGGGUGGACCUGUCAAGAAACGGUCGUCCUCAGCAGCUGGGAAUAAGAAGAGGAGGAAGGGAAAAAGCGGGCAUGGUGAUGAUAAUCUAAAGAAGCUGAGUUUGAGGGAUGUUGAGAUUGUGGAAGAAACUGCUUAUGAUAAUGAAGCGUUAGCUUUUUCUUCGACUACUACUUCGCGUUCUUUAAUAUAUCAUCCUCCAUCACUGCCCAAACCGCCUGCUGGGUUUGUGGUUGAUGACAAUGGCAGGGUUCUCAUGGCCUCAAACAAGAGAAUUGCCACUAUUGUUGAUUCUGCCAACAACAGCCCAUUAGAGUGUGUUAUAAGGAGGGUAUUCAAAAGUUCUCGGGGGGAUGAAUGUAUGCUGCUCUGCCCAGUUGACAUGCCUGUUGAGAUAUUAAAGAGUAUAAAUAUUGAUGGAUGGUCAGCUGUCAGUGAUGAAGAAGUUGAAGCUAUUCUUCCUACAGCUGCAUAUGCUCUUGCAAAAAUACAUAUGCAUCUAGUCCAUAGUGGAUUCUGUUAUACGGCUCGUGGAGGAUUUUGCUUCUCAGAAGAUAACAUCUUUGAUUUCCGCACAGAUGAUGGUCAAGAUAUAGAUGGCUUGCCAACCGAGGGCAUCGAAAUUACAUGCUUCCAUCUGGAUGGCGCGCAUUACAUGAUUUAUACACCGUCUGAUCCACUUCUAUUUGUUGCUGUCAAGGAUCAGAAUGGAAUGCUGCAAGUUGCUGAUGAUGAUCUGCUGGAGGAUCCUGCUAUCAUGAGUGCCAUUGAUGAGGAAACUGAAUUUAAUGCCUUGGUGGAAGAAGAAGCUGCUCUUCUUGAAUCAUUGUUAGGUGAAAGAUGACCAGGUUGCUCUCAUCAACUUUUUUAAGUUGCCCAAACUGCAUUUAUUUGGAAGUGGCCCAUGAAUUGUUUAUUUCAUCAGGUCUAAUUACAAUGUUGGAAUCCUCCACUAGAAUCAAAUUUAUAUGCCUAAUUUCUUUAACAUAUGGCUCAAUUGAAGCACUAGCCCAUAUCAAUAUAAAAAUUAAUUCUAAUGCUGCAUUUGAAUGCAAUUGAACUCUUACUGGGGCAGGUUGUCAUCUUUUUCUGUGCCUUCAGAUUCAAAUAUUCCUGUGAAGGCUCUCUUUUUCUUUUUUUUUUUCUUCUUUUUCUCAUUCUUUUUUCUGAACUUUUAACUGAAGCCCCAAAAUCUCUUAAACAGUUAAAUUGUUUUUUGAUUUUUUAUUAUUAUUAAGUAAUAGCUAUUAUACAUAAUCAUAAUCCUAGGCCAAGUAAACAUAGUCUUAUUUAUUUAUUUAAAGUAAACAUAA
Molecule: non-coding RNA, 1680 nt
Organism: Durio zibethinus
Lineage: Eukaryota; Viridiplantae; Streptophyta; Magnoliopsida; Malvales; Malvaceae
Source: RefSeq, a predicted model, not a curated record